Molecule: ribosomal RNA, 418 nt
Filed under: uncultured bacterium
Lineage: Bacteria
Description: bacterial SSU rRNA
Rfam family: Bacterial small subunit ribosomal RNA
Source: RNAcentral
GGAAUAUUGGACAAUGGAGGGAACUCUGAUCCAGCCAUGCCGCGUGCAGGAUAAGGUCCUAUGGAUUGUAAACUGCUUUUGUACGGGAGCAAUAAGGUCCACGUGUGGGUCGAUGAGAGUACCGUACGAAUAAGCAUCGGCUAACUCCGUGCCAGCAGCCGCGGUAAUACGGAGGAUGCGAGCGUUAUCCGGAUUUAUUGGGUUUAAAGGGUGCGUAGGCGGCUUGGUAAGUCAGCGGUGAAAUUCGGAUGCUCAACAUCUGGCGUGCCGUUGAAACUGCCGUGCUUGAAUGCGGAUGCCGUGGGAGGAAUGUGUGGUGUAGCGGUGAAAUGCAUAGAUAUCACACAGAACACCGAUUGCGAAGGCAUCUCACGAAUCCGCGAUUGACGCUGAGGCACGAAAGUGCGGGGAUCAAACA